AAGUGAGAAGCAACACUUGCAAUCAGUUUCGACCUGAUCUUAGAUAAUCAAACCUUAUCCUCACUUU
RNAcentral lists this transfer RNA (67 nucleotides) under Ateuchotermes sp. CAM021. RNAcentral's name for it is "tRNA-Arg". Lineage: Eukaryota; Metazoa; Arthropoda; Insecta; Blattodea; Termitidae. The record is from RNAcentral.